RNAcentral lists this ribosomal RNA (511 nucleotides) under uncultured bacterium. RNAcentral's name for it is "bacterial SSU rRNA". It matches the Rfam family "Bacterial small subunit ribosomal RNA", at positions 19 to 518 of the family's 1533-position model. The record is from RNAcentral.
CUGGCUCAGGAUGAACGCUAGCUACAGGCUUAACACAUGCAAGUCGCGGGGCAGCAUGACGAUUGCUUGCAAUUGUUGAUGGCGACCGGCGCACGGGUGAGUAACGCGUAUCCAACCUUCCCCAUAGUAGGGUAUAGCUUGGCGAAAGUCGGAUUAAUCCCCUAUGUUGUUUGAAGCGGACAUCUAAUUCAAACCAAAGAUUUAUCGCUAUGGGAUGGGGAUGCGUCUGAUUAGGUUGCAGGCGGGGUAACGGCCCACCUGGCCGACGAUCAGUAGGGGUUCUGAGAGGAAGGUCCCCCACACUGGUACUGAGACGCGGACCAGACUCCUACGGGAGGCAGCAGUGAGGAAUAUUGGUCAAUGGGCGCGAGCCUGAACCAGCCAAGUAGCGUGCAGGAAUGACGGCCCUACGGGUUGUAAACUGCUUUUAUGCGGGGAUAAAGUGCGGCACGUGUGCCGUUUUGCAGGUACCGCAUGAAUAAGGACCGGCUAAUUCCGUGCCAGCAGCUGC